Long non-coding RNA from Polypterus senegalus (gray bichir), 1035 nucleotides. RefSeq lists it as uncharacterized. NCBI's taxonomy places the organism in Eukaryota, Metazoa, Chordata, Cladistia, Polypteriformes, Polypteridae. The record is from RefSeq and is a predicted model, not a curated record. The transcript has 7 exons.
GUUUGUAAGUUUACCGAUGACAAAUGGCAGAUAGAUGCAGUUACAGUGCGGAGUUGGAACAAAAUAGGAGUGUGAGAAAAGAGUGAAAACAGAAUGGCUACCCCAGUCUUCCAUCGCAUGUGAUACCCAGGCUACCCUGCUACUGGGACAAGUGCUAUAUAAAUAGUGAAAACAGAAUGGCUACCCCACUCUUGCAAGACAACGAAUGUCACAUGCACAGGGCUGGAGGCAGCAGUCAAACAGUAAUGAGAUGGAAUACAAGCCAACAGCAGGUGCCAUGAUAUGAGUGAAAACAGAAUGGCUACCCCACUCUUCCAAGACGACGAAUGUCACGUGCACAGGGCUUGGACUGUGUGUCUUGAUUGGCAUGAAGAGCAUUCUGAAGCAUUCUUCCAUCUUGAGUGGCCCGCAGAAUCCUAACCCAGCUUUCAAAAACAGAGAACAUUUCUGGGAAUGUUUGGAGAAAUGAGUGAAACAUCUGCAGAGCAAUCCAACCAAUCGGGCCAACCUGCAGGAUUUGGUGCUAGAAGAGUGGAUGAAAACUGAUGUCACCUGCGUCUGCAAAGUGGUGGUGUCCAAGUCAGACAGAAUCGCAGCUGCCAUUUGGCAUUAAGGAGAAGCUACGUAUUGUUAGGAUGUAAAGCCGCUAAUCUUUUGAGAUCAAAUCAAAUCAAAAAUGGAUCUGCAGUAAUCCUGAAAAUGGGCCAAAGAGCCUCACCACCAUGUCUUGAAGGCUGCACCAUCUUGGCUGGAGAGAAGGAAACAUUUGUUAAAAAGCAGUCUGCUGAAGACUUUCAUCCUCUGCUCGCCCUUCUCAACUUAAUCUAGCAAACAGCCCUCCACCAGGCAUUGAUAAGAGAAACUGCCCAGUGAGGGAAACCGACACAACUUCUUCCAGACCUUGGGCCAUAAAAGCAAGACCGCCUGGAAGGAGGCAUCACUUCUGCUUCAGGAGACCUAAGGAGAAGACCGACUCAGCUGUGGAAUGGCCAAUAGGGGGAGGCAGCUUGAUGGCCGAGGUCUCCAGGACUCUGA